Molecule: ribosomal RNA, 467 nt
Filed under: uncultured bacterium
Lineage: Bacteria
Description: partial 16S ribosomal RNA
Rfam family: Bacterial small subunit ribosomal RNA
Source: RNAcentral
GACGAACGCUGGCGGCGUGCUUAACACAUGCAAGUCGAACGGAAAGGCCCUGCUUUUGUGGGGUGCUCGAGUGGCGAACGGGUGAGUAACACGUGAGUAACCUGCCCUUGACUUUGGGAUAACUUCAGGAAACUGGGGCUAAUACCGGAUAGGAGCUCCUGCUGCAUGGUGGGGGUUGGAAAGUUUCGGCGGUUGGGGAUGGACUCGCGGCUUAUCAGCUUGUUGGUGGGGUAGUGCUUACCAAGGCUUUGACGGGUAGCCGGCCUGAGAGGGUGACCGGCCACAUUGGGCCUGCGAUACGGCCCAGACUCCUACGGGAGGCAGCAGUGGGGAAUAUUGCACAAUGGGCGGAAGCCUGAUGCAGCAACGCCGCGUGCGGGAUGACGGCCUUCGGGUUGUAAACCGCUUUCGCCUGUGACGAAGCGUGAGUGACGGUAAUGGGUAAAGAAGCACCGGCUAACUACGUG